UGUCUGUCUCUCUCUCUCUCUCCCCGUUCUCCGUGUCUGUCUCUCUCUCUCUCUCUCCCCGUUCUCCGUGUCUGUCUCUCUCUCUCUCUCCCCGUUCUCCGUGUCUGUCUCUCUCUCUCUCCCCGUUCUCCGUGUCUGUCUCUCUCUCUCUCUCUCCCCGUUCUCCGUGUCUGUCUCUCUCUCUCUCCCCGUUCUCCGUGUCUGUCUCUCUCUCCCCGUUCUCCGUGUCUGUCUCUCUCUCCCCGUUCUCCGUGUCUGUCUCUCUCUCCCCGUUCUCCCCGGUCUCCGUGUCUCUCUCUCUCCCCGUUCUCCGUGUCUGUCUCUCUCUCCCCGUUCUCCGUGUCUGUCUCUCUCUCCCCGUUCUCCG
This is a non-coding RNA of Pelobates cultripes (western spadefoot toad), 367 nucleotides long. Lineage: Eukaryota; Metazoa; Chordata; Amphibia; Anura; Pelobatidae. The record is from the annotation of a GenBank genome assembly.